CUUGGUCAUUUAGAGGAAGUAAAAGUCGUAACAAGGUUUCCGUAGGUGAACCGCGGAAGGAUCAUUACGUUCAGUAGCCUAGCUACUGUCAGUGGGGCUCGUUAGUCUGCAUAGCUUAAACGCUGAUGAGCAGCAGGCCCCCUGUCUUCACCCUUGUUUUUUGCGUACCCAUGUUUCCUCGGUGGGCUUGCCCGCCGGCUGGACAAAACUAUAACCUAUUUAAUUUUCAAUCAGCGUCUGAAAUAAUUUUAAUAAUUACAACUUUCAACAACGGAUCUCUUGGUUCUGGCAUCGAUGAAGAACGCAGCGAAAUGCGAUAAGUAGUGUGAAUUGCAGAAUUCAGUGAAUCAUCGAAUCUUUGAACGCACAUUGCGCCCCUUGGUAUUCCAUGGGGCAUGCCUGUUCGAGCGUCAUUUGUACCCUCAAGCUUUGCUUGGUGUUGGGUGUUUGUCUCGCCUCUGCGUGUAGACUCGCCUCAAAACAAUUGGCAGCCGGCGUAUUGAUUUCGGAGCGCAGUACAUCUCGCGCUUUGCACUCAGAACGACGACGUCCAAAAGUACAUUUUUACACUCUUGACCUCGGAUCAGGUAGGGAUACCCGCUGAACUUAAGCAUAUCAAUAAGCGGAGGA
RNAcentral lists this ribosomal RNA (630 nucleotides) under uncultured fungus. RNAcentral's name for it is "eukaryotic LSU rRNA". The stretch from base 260 to 413 matches the Rfam family "5.8S ribosomal RNA". The record is from RNAcentral. Lineage: Eukaryota; Fungi.